Molecule: long non-coding RNA, 942 nt
Organism: Cebus imitator (Panamanian white-faced capuchin)
Lineage: Eukaryota; Metazoa; Chordata; Mammalia; Primates; Cebidae
Exons: 2
Source: RefSeq, a predicted model, not a curated record
CAUCCAAAGUUAACAAAACCUGAAAUGAGAGGGACGGAGGAAUGAAAGGAAUGGACAGUCACUGUUACACUUAGUCCCUGUUUUCUCUCGGAGACGUCCACAGACUGGAAACUGCCUGGGCUCUGCUGUCUAUGGACUGGACAUAAUGACACUCCCGCUUGGGUAUUUGUUGAUGGAUGGAGAUGAUGAGAAAGUUGCCAAGAUGAACUCAAAGCUUUCGACCACGUUAAGCAUCCACUGGGACCAGCAUCCAGUGCUUACAGAUUUAUGAAGUGCCAUCCUGAGAAUGAUAACCACAUGCGGUUAUUGUGCAUUUAUGUGUGGCUAUUAAAAACCAUCCCUUGUAAAGAAAACUUUCAUUUUAGACACUGUGAAAACACGUUAAGAGAGAGGUAGAAAGGCCAAAACGGCAAAUUGGAGAGAGGAGUUCUUCUUGGAAUAGCAAACUAGCCCCUUACCUCCCAGCUGCUGAGAUUCUGGAAGAAAAAGUACAGGGCGGCAGCCCACAUCACAGCGGUGGCCACGAUGCAGACAAGCGGCACUGGGAGGACCUUCUCGGAGCUGCGGAGCUGUCGGGAGAGACCAGAUGCGGCCUCGCAGGAUCCCGCCUGCGCCAGCCGGAGGGCCGAGGCAGCCACUUCCGGCGCCCGCUCUUACCUUCAUGAUGAUGUAAAAGGCCAGGUACAGCAACAGGUUACAGAUGAAGAUGCCCAGCAUGUAGGAAGCAAAGUCCCUGGGGCGGUAUAUCAAUCCGAAAAGGGCGCUGCGGGCGUGGGAGAAAUGUGGGCAGCCGUGAAGGUGGGUUUGUAACACUAUUGGCCUUUCCAAUGCCCCAGCCCCUUGAAGGGGAAGGGGCAGGUUCUUUUUUUUUUUUAAAACAAAAACUUUUAUUUUUAGUUAACUUCACUUUUUUUAAACUCUUACCUCGUGAUGCAACAGAUU